Molecule: ribosomal RNA, 537 nt
Filed under: Trigonopterus inhonestus
Lineage: Eukaryota; Metazoa; Arthropoda; Insecta; Coleoptera; Curculionidae
Description: partial large subunit ribosomal RNA
Rfam family: Bacterial large subunit ribosomal RNA
Source: RNAcentral
UUAUAAUUUCAGGUCUGACCUGCCCAAUGAGUAGUAUUAAAUGGCCGCAGUAUCUUGACUGUGCAAAGGUAGCAUAAUCAUUAGUUUUUUAAUUGAAAACUGGAAUGAAAGGUUUGAUGAGAAAAUUUCUGUCUCUGGAAAAAUUUAUUAGAAUUUUAUUUUUAAGUCAAAAAGCUUAAAUUUAUAUGGAAGACGAGAAGACCCUAUAGAGUUUUAUAUUUAUAAAAAUCUUAAUUAUUAGGAAGUAAAAGAUCCAGGAUUAAUUAUAAGUAUUUUGUUGGGGUGAUAGAAAAAUUAAACUAACUUUUUUUCUUAAGCAUUACAUUAAUGUGUGAAUAGAUGAUCUUAAAAUUUAGAUUAUAAGAUAGAAUUACCUUAGGGAUAACAGCGUAAUUUUUUUAAGAGUUCUUAUCGGAAAAAAAGAUUGCGACCUCGAUGUUGGAUUAAAAUUAAUUACUGGUGUAGAAGCUAGAUAAUUAGGUCUGUUCGACCUUUGAAAUUUUACAUGAUCUGAGUUUAAACCGGCGUGAGCCAGGU